This 468-nucleotide ribosomal RNA is filed under the name uncultured bacterium. RNAcentral describes it as "partial 16S ribosomal RNA". It matches the Rfam family "Bacterial small subunit ribosomal RNA", at positions 28 to 507 of the family's 1533-position model. The record is from RNAcentral.
GACGAACGCUGGCGGCGUGCUUAACACAUGCAAGUCGAACGGAAAGGCCCUGCUUUUGUGGGGUGCUCGAGUGGCGAACGGGUGAGUAACACGUGAGUAACCUGCCCUUGACUUUGGGUUAACUUCAGGAAACUGGGGCUAAUACCGGAUAGGAGCUCCUGCUGCAUGGUGGGGGUUGGAAAGUUUCGGCGGUUGGGGAUGGACUCGCGGCUUAUCAGCUUGUUGGUGGGGUAGUGGCUUACCAAGGCUUUGACGGGUAGCCGGCCUGAGAGGGUGACCGGCCACAUUGGGACUGAGAUAGGGCCCAGACUCCUACGGGAGGCAGCAGUGGGGAAUAUUGCACAAUGGGCGGAAGCCUGAUGCAGCAACGCCGCGUGCGGGAUGACGGCCUUCGGGUUGUAAACCGCUUUCGCCUGUGACGAAGCGUGAGUGACGGUAAUGGGUAAAGAAGCACCGGCUAACUACGUG